RNAcentral lists this ribosomal RNA (460 nucleotides) under uncultured bacterium. RNAcentral describes it as "partial 16S ribosomal RNA". It matches the Rfam family "Bacterial small subunit ribosomal RNA", at positions 338 to 795 of the family's 1533-position model. The record is from RNAcentral.
CCUACGGGAGGCAGCAGUGAGGAAUAUUGGUCAAUGGACGCGAGCCUGAACCAGCCAAGUAGCGUGAAGGAUGACUGCCCUACGGGUUGUAAACUUCUUUUAUAAGGGAAUAAAGUGAGCCACGUGUGCGUUUUUGUAUGUACUUUAUUAAUAAGGAUCGGCUAACUCCGUGCCCGCAGCCGCGUUAAUACGGAGGAUCCGAGCGUUAUCCGGAUUUAUUGGGUUUAAAAGGAGCGUAGAUGGGUUGUUAAGUCAGUUGUGAAAGUUUGCGGCUCAACCGUAAAAUUGCAGUUGAUACUGGCAGUCUUGAGUACAGUAGAGGUAGGCGGAAUUCGUGGUGUAGCGGUGAAAUGCUUAGAUAUCACGAAGAACUCCGAUUGCGAAGGCAGUUUACUAAACUGCAACUGACACUGAUGCUCGAAAGUGUGGGUAUCAAACAGGAUUAGAUACCCGUGUAGUC